This 300-nucleotide ribosomal RNA is filed under the name uncultured Campylobacter sp. Its description in RNAcentral is "bacterial SSU rRNA". It matches the Rfam family "Bacterial small subunit ribosomal RNA", at positions 496 to 795 of the family's 1533-position model. The record is from RNAcentral. Lineage: Bacteria; Pseudomonadati; Campylobacterota; Epsilonproteobacteria; Campylobacterales; Campylobacteraceae.
GCUGCCGUCGGACCGUCGGCUGCGGUAUUGCGACGGAUUUGAACGUGAUCCGGAUUUGUUGAGUUUAAAGGGUGCGUUGGCGGGCUGAUAAGUCAGUGGUGAAAUCCUAGCGCUUAACUAUGGACGUGCCAUUGAUACUGUAGGGCUUGAGUAUAGAUGCCGUUGGCGGAAUGUGUCAUGUAGCGGUGAAAUGCAUAGAUAUGACACAGAACACCGAUUGCGAAGGCAGCUGACGAAACUAUAACUGACGCUGAUGCACGAAAGCGUGGGGAUCAAACAGGAUUAGAUACCCUGGUAGUC